RNAcentral lists this transfer RNA (76 nucleotides) under Bdellovibrionales bacterium. RNAcentral describes it as "tRNA-Asn". It matches the Rfam family "tRNA". Rfam says of the family: Transfer RNA (tRNA) molecules are approximately 80 nucleotides in length. Lineage: Bacteria; Pseudomonadati; Bdellovibrionota; Bdellovibrionia; Bdellovibrionales. The record is from RNAcentral.
UCCCCGGUAGCUCAGUCGGUAGAGCAAUUGGCUGUUAACCAAUGGGUCGGCGGUUCGAGUCCGUCCCGGGGAGCCA